UGUUUGGUCCCUGCUUUAACCCUCUGAGGUCCGAGGGCAUUUUCACAUAUCCUCUGUAAUUGAACUUUUUUUUCAGGUAUUUGCAUGUAACUGAUCCCCAUGUGUUUCAUAUCAACAUGUUCAGAACAAUCUC
This is a long non-coding RNA of Etheostoma cragini (Arkansas darter), 133 nucleotides long. RefSeq lists it as uncharacterized. The record is from RefSeq and is a predicted model, not a curated record. Lineage: Eukaryota; Metazoa; Chordata; Actinopteri; Perciformes; Percidae. The transcript has 3 exons.